CUGAGACCCAGUGGAACUGUUGCCCUGGACGACGGCUUAUUUCCUUCUGGCUCUGACAACACUCAUCUGGAGGUGUGCCCCUUACGGAGCUGGCGAGACCUUGGCUCCCCCAGAGUAGCCAACACGGCCCCUGCAUGUCUGCGGGUCUAGAAGCGCCCCCUGCUGUGUGCUCUGCUGGAGGCUCUGAGAAGAGAGGCUCAGUCAGAGCCGGGAAGCAGUGGAAUUUCACGGCAAUUUUGGGUGAGAAGCGUAUACAUUGCUCUGGGCUAGCAGCAGGAGGGAAGGAGGCCUGGCUGCUGCUCCUCCCUCCCAGGUCCCCAGGUGCUGCUGUGUCCUUCCCCUCCCCCAACCUCCACCUGCCCUGGGCUGCAGAAGCAUCAUUUGAAAACCACUGCUUGAAAAUCUU
RNAcentral lists this long non-coding RNA (406 nucleotides) under Equus caballus (horse). RNAcentral's name for it is "lncRNA (ENSECAG00000037997.3)". Lineage: Eukaryota; Metazoa; Chordata; Mammalia; Perissodactyla; Equidae. The record is from RNAcentral.